UUACUAACUUGAAUGCUUGUUGAGUAUAUCUUUUAGUCUUGAUAUUAGUAUUACAGUUUUAAAGUAGGGAUGACUUCUAGUGAGAAGUGGGCUUGUGGCUGAUGUCUACAUAAUUUUUUCAUAUAUUUUGAUUUUAUGGAAUGUUCGUGUCUAUGUCGUCAGUGGUAUUGCACCCAUAGAAUUUCUUUCUGCUUUACUGUAUACGUGUUUGAUUGAAAUGUCGAUAUUGCUUUAAUCCUGUGUGACAACCUAGAAUACAUUUAUAGGUUGAUAUUGCACCCAUAGACCUUGUUAUUCG
Molecule: unclassified non-coding RNA, 298 nt
Filed under: Hevea brasiliensis (rubber tree)
Lineage: Eukaryota; Viridiplantae; Streptophyta; Magnoliopsida; Malpighiales; Euphorbiaceae
Source: RNAcentral